CUGACCUGGAGCCUGCAUUCUCAGGGGUGGGGCCCAGCCCAGGAUCACCACCACAUAAUCAUGCUUUGUGCGUCCCAAACAGAGCCGAUCACUGGGCCUGUCCACUCCCCACCCCCCAGUCUCUGCAGUGGUGGACACCACUGUCCACCCUGUGCCCAAGCCAGCCAGACCCCUGGGGUCACCUGCCUCCCCCUCCUUCCCCUGACAAUCACUGUGUCCCUAGGCCAUCCCUUCAUCUCUGAAAUAGACCCUCCCUGCCCACUGCCCUUGACUGGGUUCGGGCCUCCUUCUCUCUUGCCUGCAUCUCCAGACUUGCACGCCCUGUGGUCUCCUGGCUUCCCAGCCAUCUCCCCGCUCCGGUCCAGCCUCCUCAUGGUAGGCAGAGACACAGUUCUGAUCACACCCCUCCUCUUCUCAAAACCUGUCCAUGGCUCCCCAGGACCCCAGCUCCUCUGCCUGCUGUUCAAGCCCUUCUUCCCAUUCUUCUGGCUCCCGCGCUCCAGCCUCUUCGCAGGAGACAGAUGCCCCUGCUCCCACCGCCAGGCUUUGGUCUCCACCUCCCUCUGCCAGAGGCUCUUUUCUUCACCCUCUGUUCUGCCUGGCAAACACCCACCUACUCUUCAAGGAUCGUGUCCCACGCCCCAGAGUUCCCCACGAGGUGCCCUGACCCCUCCCUCACUCAAUGCCCCCUCCUCACUGUCCCCUGUGCAGACCUUGAUCUGAGCCCCUGUGACAUGGAGCAUUCAGCCCCCUGCCCAGCCCGAAGCCCCUCAGCCCAGGGACCAGAUCUUGCUGGGCUCAGGGAAAAGCAUGGAAGGGAGGCAGCGGGGGAGCAGAAAAGGAGCAAUAUAUGUCAGGGGUCUGCUCAAUGCCUCCUCCCCUAGGAAGGCCCGCAGACCCCUGUCACGGCCACCCAGGCCCCUCGCCUGCAUCUCCACUGGUGCAGCGAUGGUUACUGGGCUCACAUGGGGUCUGGAAUGUCAGCAGAGCCCAAGGCCAUGAAGGUCAUUUCAGCCACACCUCGUUUCACAGACGGGGAAACGGAGGCCCUGGGAUGAGCAGGUGCUGCGGCCAUCACUCCACCAGAGGGGAGCAGAGCCAGGGUUUAAACCCUGUCCGACCACCUGGCCCCAAACCCCGAGUUCUUUCCCUGCUCCCACUGCCUGGUGUUCGCACCUCUGGACCCCAGGAGCGCCUCGCAAAGGGGCCUCCGUAAGACUGGGAGCCCCGAGCCACAGGCCCCAGGGCAAUGGAGCAGGGAAGGGGAGGGGUGCAGAGGCAGGCGGCUGGGGGGGGGGGGCGGUGGACACUGAGCCUUGUGGGGCACCCACUCUGCGCUGACCCGUUCCCUCCCUUGUCUCGCCACAGCUCCAUCUAGCUCAGCCAGGAGAGACUGCCCGUGGUGGAACCCCCAUCACAGCCCUCGCUGCGCUCUCAGGGAGCCAGGCCUCCCCGAGCUUGAACCCUGCUCUGGAACUCGCAUGCCGGCGGUCACCUCCCGGUGGCUCAGCUUCCUCCUCUGUAAGGUGGAAAUAUUCACAGUGCUACACCAUGGGGCUGUGUGCGAAUUAAGUGAGUUCACCUGUGUAAGUCACUCGGCGCAAUGUGGCUCACCCACAGCAGUGCCGGCGUGGAGCAAGUGCUCAGAAACAAGCUUGCUAUUGCUGUUGUUAUUAUUACCUACUUGUCCAUCUCGCCCACUAGGCAGUGAACUCUGCAGGGCUGUGUUUUCCGGGACAUCGAGGCUGGUGGGUGGUGGGUGAAGGGCUCGCCCCGGCCCUAAGGCUGCUCUCCUGCCUCGCCCACUUGUAGGGCUGCAAGGAGGGAAGGGGGAUGGGGAGAGGGACCAUCCCCCACCUCUGCUUUGUGUCUUUGGGCUGGAGCAUCAGGCUCGUUUACAUUCCCAAAUACCCCAGACUACCAGGGCUGAUAAGGACGGCUCUGGUCUGGGAGCCUCGGCAGUGACUUUAUCUCCCUAGAUAGGGCCGGCCGGGCUGGCUCUGGCUGGGGCAGGGAGGGUGCCCCUUGGUUUCUGAGAAGCCUCAGAGCCGACACUCAGGUGUAGCUGAGCCCACCUGGCUCUAGUGCCCGGCCCCCCCCAACACACACACACACACACACUUGCCCGGCCCAGCUCCUCUUCCUCCCAUACCUCAGUCAAUCUGAGAGCAGCCUGAGGGCAGCGCCUCCUUGGGACCCAUCCCACCUGCACAGAACUGUGCUUCUCACAUUUGAUGACCACAGAACUCUUCGCUUUCCAGGCUCCCUGAAACCCUCUCCUCGUCUCUCCUGUGACCACAUCUUUGACUUCUUCCUUUCUCUCCAGCCUCUGACCCCUGCGUCCACCCAAGGAGCACUCACUCUGUACCAGGCACUUUAUUUGGUUAACCCUCCAGACUCCUGAGAGCUACCAUCACAAUUCCCACUCGACACAGAGGAAACUGAGCAUCAUAGAGGGUUGGUGAUCUGCCCGAGGGCACGCAGGGAAAGUGCUGGAGCGGGGCUCUGAGCCAGGCUGGCUGUCUCGGCUGGGAGGGCUCAGCAGUGGGCAGAGGACUGACCCAGGUUCUGGCUGUGGGAGUGGGAGUGGGACAUGGGGAGGGGCUUACCUGUACCUGGCUGGGGUGGCUUGGAGGGCUGCAGGGCAGGAGGGCGGUUCCUGUUACCCAGUGCUGAGUACCAGAAACUUAGCGCUUGAAACAGGGACGUUUACUUUGUUCUCAAACCUGCAUUUGGGGAGGCUCAGAGGGCAUCAUUCGCCUCUGCUCUGCUUGACGUGACCUGGCUUGGUUGUAGUCAGGACCUGGAAUCGUUUGAAGAGUCGUUCAUGCAUGUGUCCAGUGGCUGAAGCUGGUCACUGGCCAAGACCUUAACUGAGGCUGUUGGCAAGAGCACCCAUAGUGUCCUUCUCAUAUGGCCUGGGCUUCCUCACAAUAUGGUGGCUGGAUUCCAGAGACAGAGACAGGCAGGCAGACAGACAAACAGACAGGUGGAAGCUGUAUUCCCUUCGUAGAUUUAGCCUGGGAAGUUGUGGGAUGACGAUUCUGCUGCAUUCUGCUCAUUGAGCCAGUCACAAAGUUUUGCCCAGUUUCAAGGAGUGGGGCAAUAGACUCCAUCUCUCGAUGGAGAAUGACAAGUUUCCAGUGUGUGGACCUGGAAAUGCUCCUGAGGCCAUUUUUGGAAAGUACGCCUCCCACAGGGACCUCCUCUCCUGACCUCCCAUAGCAGUCCCACUUCCCUGACCUGGCAGGACACUUCCAGAGGCUCAGCCCACACAGCCUCUCUCAGCCCUGCCUUGGAAGCGUGGUCCUGAGUAGUUGGGGGUGGAGACAGUGAGCUCUCACUGCAUGCCAGGCCCUCCCCGGGUGCUUCCAUGCCUUAUUGCAUUCGAUCCCCACCAGGAUCCACAUAGUGGCAAUGUGGCCCCUGAUUGUAGGUGAGGAGACUGAGGCUGAAGACUCACCGAGGCCACACGGAGGCCCCAGUGAGGCUGGGAUCUGAGGCCAGGUCUGUGGCUCCAAAGCUCCUGCUCUCGCCCCUGCACCAGCUGCCCCCAGGCUCAGGAUAGGGAAGGACUGAGGGGGUGAGGGAUUAAGAACACAGGCCUUGGACCAGAACAACUUGGGUUCUCACUGAAGCUCCUUGACCCUGGGCAGGUCACUUCAUCUCUCUGAGCCUCAAUUUCCAUGUCUGUCCAAUGGGCCAUCACAGACUCUAAAAAACACACCAAACCAAUGAAAUAAAAUAAUCUGUGUUACCAGCUCGGCACAGGCUCUGGCACAUCACACGCGGUACCCAGGCCGCCCCGCCCUCCCUAGACAGGACCCGCUCGUCUGUGGGGCAGAGCAGGUCCGUGGCUGCCCGAGGACUGGGCCUUCUGCCAUUUACCAAGGGGGGAGUCCCCGGGCUCCUGUUGGCUAUUUUUAGGUCUGUGUGGGCAACCACAGAACCACAUGUGGGGUUUACCACGGCCUGGCCAAGCUCGGAGGAACAAGAAAACACUUCUCGUGACAGACGGUGGACAUCUGAGGUCAGGAUGGGCCUCAGUCUUUUCCAGCAUCUCUAGGUUGACUUCGGACAAAGUCAGAGAGCCUCUCCAGGUCUCAGUUUCCCCAUCUGUAAAGUGAUAAUCUUAGCACAACGGCUUACUGUGUGCCAGGUGUGGACGGAACACGGUGUCAACUUGCGUGGUCUCACAUGAUCCCCGCUGUGAGAGAGGCUGGGGGCGCAGACGUUGCUCAGCUAGAAGAGGGAGCAGGAGUGGAACCAGGGCCAGUCCAUGUCCCCGCCCUGCUUCCAGCUCCCCACACAGCCUGGAAGCAGUUCAUGAGGAUUAGCUGAGAUUACGCUUGGAGGUGUGUUGUUAAACUGCAAACUGGAAUGUAAACUGAGCAGGCCCAGGGAUAGCCGGGCUGGGAGCUUAGCCCUAUCUUCCAUGGAGAUGCUUCCCAGGCCCUCCCUACCCGAGCCUUCCCACUUGUUCAUCUGCUUUCCACAGCAGGCAUCCUUGUGAGAUUUUCUUUUGGCUCUACUCCCCCCACCAAAAAAGGCUUUAAAAGCCACUGAGGGGCAGACUGAAGACCAGAGGUGGCAGCAAUACUCCCCAGGGCAUGCAGGGGGUGCUGAGGCCCUGGGUGUCCCAGCCCCUUCACCAGGCUGGCCUGCAGCCGUGGCCCUUGGGGCCUCCGCCCAGUUCUCGGAGGAGCCCAGGCCUCGGGCCCACCUCCCUUCCUCACUCACGUGGGGCCUCUGACGUUCUCACUCUUCAAGUCCAGGAAACCAUGUUCCUGGAAGAGCCACCAGCCACGGUUAGGACUUAGAAGCUCUGUAGUUCCCCAGGAGGAAAGGAAAGAAAAGGACAACAAGGGGAAAUGCCAUUGACAUCACACAACUGGAUUUUCAGCGAAGCCACACGAGAACUCGUGAUCCUCCUGCAGGCCAGAGGGAUGUACACAGGAGCUGGGUGCAGAUCCGUC
Long non-coding RNA from Equus caballus (horse), 4976 nucleotides. Lineage: Eukaryota; Metazoa; Chordata; Mammalia; Perissodactyla; Equidae. The record is from Ensembl.